This 1435-nucleotide ribosomal RNA is filed under the name Limosilactobacillus fermentum. RNAcentral's name for it is "bacterial SSU rRNA". It matches the Rfam family "Bacterial small subunit ribosomal RNA". The record is from RNAcentral. Lineage: Bacteria; Bacillati; Bacillota; Bacilli; Lactobacillales; Lactobacillaceae.
GCGUUGGCCCAAUUGAUUGAUGGUGCUUGCACCUGAUUGAUUUUGGUCGCCAACGAGUGGCGGACGGGUGAGUAACACGUAGGUAACCUGCCCAGAAGCGGGGGACAACAUUUGGAAACAGAUGCUAAUACCGCAUAACAGCGUUGUUCGCAUGAACAACGCUUAAAAGAUGGCUUCUCGCUAUCACUUCUGGAUGGACCUGCGGUGCAUUAGCUUGUUGGUGGGGUAACGGCCUACCAAGGCGAUGAUGCAUAGCCGAGUUGAGAGACUGAUCGGCCACAAUGGGACUGAGACACGGCCCAUACUCCUACGGGAGGCAGCAGUAGGGAAUCUUCCACAAUGGGCGCAAGCCUGAUGGAGCAACACCGCGUGAGUGAAGAAGGGUUUCGGCUCGUAAAGCUCUGUUGUUAAAGAAGAACACGUAUGAGAGUAACUGUUCAUACGUUGACGGUAUUUAACCAGAAAGUCACGGCUAACUACGUGCCAGCAGCCGCGGUAAUACGUAGGUGGCAAGCGUUAUCCGGAUUUAUUGGGCGUAAAGAGAGUGCAGGCGGUUUUCUAAGUCUGAUGUGAAAGCCUUCGGCUUAACCGGAGAAGUGCAUCGGAAACUGGAUAACUUGAGUGCAGAAGAGGGUAGUGGAACUCCAUGUGUAGCGGUGGAAUGCGUAGAUAUAUGGAAGAACACCAGUGGCGAAGGCGGCUACCUGGUCUGCAACUGACGCUGAGACUCGAAAGCAUGGGUAGCGAACAGGAUUAGAUACCCUGGUAGUCCAUGCCGUAAACGAUGAGUGCUAGGUGUUGGAGGGUUUCCGCCCUUCAGUGCCGGAGCUAACGCAUUAAGCACUCCGCCUGGGGAGUACGACCGCAAGGUUGAAACUCAAAGGAAUUGACGGGGGCCCGCACAAGCGGUGGAGCAUGUGGUUUAAUUCGAAGCUACGCGAAGAACCUUACCAGGUCUUGACAUCUUGCGCCAACCCUAGAGAUAGGGCGUUUCCUUCGGGAACGCAAUGACAGGUGGUGCAUGGUCGUCGUCAGCUCGUGUCGUGAGAUGUUGGGUUAAGUCCCGCAACGAGCGCAACCCUUGUUACUAGUUGCCAGCAUUAAGUUGGGCACUCUAGUGAGACUGCCGGUGACAAACCGGAGGAAGGUGGGGACGACGUCAGAUCAUCAUGCCCCUUAUGACCUGGGCUACACACGUGCUACAAUGGACGGUACAACGAGUCGCGAACUCGCGAGGGCAAGCAAAUCUCUUAAAACCGUUCUCAGUUCGGACUGCAGGCUGCAACUCGCCUGCACGAAGUCGGAAUCGCUAGUAAUCGCGGAUCAGCAUGCCGCGGUGAAUACGUUCCCGGGCCUUGUACACACCGCCCGUCACACCAUGAGAGUUUGUAACACCCAAAGUCGGUGGGGUAACCUUUAGGAGCCAGCCGCCUAA